Long non-coding RNA from Carcharodon carcharias (great white shark), 351 nucleotides. RefSeq lists it as uncharacterized. Lineage: Eukaryota; Metazoa; Chordata; Chondrichthyes; Lamniformes; Lamnidae. The record is from RefSeq and is a predicted model, not a curated record. The transcript has 3 exons.
UCUAAGAUAGGAUGUUCUGCCCCUAAGAGCUGCUGUCCAGAGGGCUAGCAGCUCUUCAGUCCCAGCAGCGCCACUGAGAGUGGUGACAACUGGUCCCGGACCAGCCACCAUGGGGGAGGCCGCAGAAAGUAGGAAAAGAAAAUGAGAGCACAGAGUGGAGACAACAAGGACUGAGUACGAUAAGGAGCAAGUGCUAACUUGGGAAUUUGAUGGGGUGGGACACCUCUGACUCAGAACCUUUUCGUGGGACCUACUGAACUACACACAUCUUACAACAUGGUGGCAGCUAUCAGAACAACCCAAAACCUCAGAUGCUGGAGAAGAAAUUUAAAACCUGAAAAGAUUGACAAG